UUCGAUAUAAAGUAGAGGGAAUUUGUGUUACUCUUGGUUUUCUCUCAGCAACUGUGCAUCGUGAAAAGUAUCCACUAUGAUGUUAAUGUAUAAUUCAAUCUGUCCAAAUGAUGAUGGAUAAUCCCUUUACCGUUUUGGCCAAUGACCAACUUCGAGUUCAAUGUAGUGGCAUUGACGCUUAUUGGAGGUGUCCAGAUAACAAUUUUUUGGAAUUUGGGGUGUGAGAACCAGGAACUAUCAUUUUAAUGUUAACUUACAGAAAGUUGGAGCAACAAGUGUCCCAGUAAAUGCAUUAUUACCUUUCUAAAAAAAGGGUGUCCAAGGAAAUACAGAUAUAGUUAUAAAAGGAAACAAUCAAUUACAUAAGGAGAUAUAACAAUCUCUCUUGAGUUGGAAAACAUAAUUAUUUUUAUUUGAGAUACUGUCGACAGUUGGAGGGUAGGGAAUUACACCGUAUACAGUCAGAAAUGGCAGAAACUAGUUUGAUUAGUUUAAACUAUGCAGUAUCUUUAUGAUCAUCUACUUUAUCUUUCUGUUGCAAGAUGUCUUCACCAAUUUCACGUUUCUUCUGUAAAUACAUUGUGAGUCCUUGGUGCUUUGAUAACAGUGAAGCAUCUACUUGACAUUGGCCAAUAUCUGUAAGAAUCAACUCCUUGCGUUUAUACACACACCCACACACCCACCCACCCCACCCACCCACACCCUAUGUCACAUGAAAAAUAUAAUUUUGAUAAUAUACUACAGUAACAGAAACGAUAUGUCUCACACAGGAUAAGGAGGUAACAUCUUACAUCACCCUAUAUUACAUAUUGGUUAUUAAUAUGCGCUAGUGGUUAGGCAAUAUAAGGUAUGCCUAACUCCUGCCACACCCAAGACAUAUUUUAAAAGAUAUGGGCCUCCACUACUCGAUUGACCAUGUUAAGCGGUCAGAUAAUUUUUUAUUAGAAAUGAAUUUGCAAGAAAAAUUUAUUGUGAGUUGUAUAUGCUUUUUGAAUGAUGAAGGUGUCUGGAUUCAUUUACUCUCUCUAGUGGGUAAGUCUUUUAUGAACGAUUCGUAGUAGUAGAGAUUUGAUAUGCCCUAGUUUAGUUUAAUUCAAAAGUUUGUUUUAUAUUGUGGGUAGAAUUGAUUAUGUGCUUGUACUUUUAACAAUUUACUUAUGAAGAUGAUUUCAUUCUUCUUUGCAAAGUCUGGUUUAUUCGUGAAAAAUAAACUAGUAGUGUCCGGUAUGAUGUGGAUUUUAGCCCCAAAAAAAGAAAGUUUCUUGCCCUAUUUGGGUUGGUUACCAAGAUAACGACCAUAUUGGCUUCAUAUAAUUGCUCUGAAAUUAAUAGUUGCUCCUAUUGUCAUGCAUUGUCCAUGGACGGUUCUACAAACGUUUAAUCACACAGUCUCAAUAUAGUUAUGGCUGAAGUCGAUCGGCUAGCAGAUUUCUUAAAACAAGUUUUGGUAGGUGUUUAAUCAUCUUUGGAUCUGGAAAAAUCUAUGACUAUUGGCAGCAAAUUGAAUAUGAUAUGAUUUCAAAGUAUUGUUAUCGAAUUAUAUGAACUGCUUCAUCUAAAAGCUUAAACUAUUAAAGAGGGAAUCUAUUUUCUUUAAGUCUUCAAUACAUCCAUGUUGUCUCAGCUGAUACAUUUUCUUUUGCUGGACCUAUAAUGUGAAAUAUUUUGUUGAUGCAUAAUGGUGUGACUCAAGCCGAGGACCUCUAAUUGCUCUAGUAUCAUGUAAAACUGUGUGGAUUACCUCAUCCUAAGGUUAAGCUAUUAAAGAGAUGACACUUCUAUUUAUGUUUUUAUGUCUUCAAGAUGUUAUCUUCAAAGACAUGAUGAAGGUGAAUGAUGUGAAGCUAUAAAAUUGGACUCGUAUGGAAUUGCUGCUCCAGGAGAACAAGAAAGCUGUUCGAUAUAUCUUUGACAAGAUGACAAUAGACACAUGACCAUAGAACAGUGUUGAAUGAAAGAUGGGGCAUGGAGUCACGGCAGGCGAAGUUUAAAUGUUUAAGGUCAAAAUGAUUUGUUUUUGUUUAUAGUAGUGAAGAUGGUAAAUAUGAUUCCGACUAAAGGAAUUAUUUAAUCACUGUUGGCGAUGAUAUGGCUAAAGAUCAAGGAAUUGAUUGGGCAAAAUCUGUAAUUUCAGUUGUAGGGGUGCAAUUAACUGCAAAUAUCCAAAUGUUUACUGCAAAUCCUAUUGCCGCUAUGUUAAGUUUCUGUCAAUAUGACAUUGAGAAUUGGAACAGGGGGGACUAUUUGCACAAAUAGGGACUCAAGAGCAUGUGUAUAAUGAGACUGUUAAUAAUGUUGUAGACAUGCGAGCCACUGUUUAGUUCCUAAUAUAGAUAGUCAAGGUGCACAUAUAUGAAAAGGGAGGAUAGGAGGUUAGUGACUAACUAAGAUGUGGUGAUUCCUUUUCUUAGAAUAUUUAUCUAUUAUAUACAUGUUUAUAAAUAGAGAAUGCUUCUUUCCUCUAUUCUAUUUCUACCGAUUGUAGGUUAAUAAAAUAUACAAGUAUUAAAGAAAGCUACUCAAGUAAACACAUUGAAGCAUUUGAAAGGAAAUAACUAGGCUUCCAUAGAUUAAGUACAAAAGAAUUAAAAAGAAGGAAGUUAAUAUAGGCUUAAGGCUAUCUUCUGCUUAAACUAAGAUCUUGGAAAAACCAAUAAGCUUGAGAGGAACUUUCUUGUUUG
RNAcentral lists this long non-coding RNA (2681 nucleotides) under Nicotiana tabacum (common tobacco). Its description in RNAcentral is "long non-coding RNA (NTAB_LNC015386)". Lineage: Eukaryota; Viridiplantae; Streptophyta; Magnoliopsida; Solanales; Solanaceae. The record is from RNAcentral.